AUCACGGUACUGUUUAGAUGACAUGCUGUUAUACAAUUAUAAUCCCAACCCUUAAUUCAUUGAUAAAAACACCACAAGGAACAGACAUCGUGCAGCGGAGAAGACGACCCUUCUCGAUACCGAUCUGGAGCUAAAGACCAACUGGGAGUAGAGGAAGUUGGGUGGAGAGUGCUGUUAUAUGGGUCUACACAUGCAGCACUUGUGCAGCACUACAGCCCUGCUCGUGCACUGUUGUACUACGACUUCAUUUCAAUUUCAUCUCGGUCACUCACAAAGGCAGUGUUCUCCACAGGGAACAUGGAUAUGUGCCUAUCGUGCUGACGCCUCUCUUUUUAUCAAGAGCUCUGGG
Molecule: long non-coding RNA, 349 nt
Organism: Xiphias gladius (swordfish)
Lineage: Eukaryota; Metazoa; Chordata; Actinopteri; Istiophoriformes; Xiphiidae
Exons: 3
Source: RefSeq, a predicted model, not a curated record